This 492-nucleotide ribosomal RNA is filed under the name uncultured bacterium. Its description in RNAcentral is "partial 16S ribosomal RNA". It matches the Rfam family "Bacterial small subunit ribosomal RNA", at positions 29 to 507 of the family's 1533-position model. The record is from RNAcentral.
AGUGAACGCUGGCGGUAGGCCUAACACAUGCAAGUCGAACGGCAGCACAGUAAGAGCUUGCUCUUACGGGUGGCGAGAGGCGGACGGGUGAGGAAUACAUCGGAAUCUACUUUUUCGGGGGGGAUAACGAAGGGAAACUUACGCUAAUACCGCAUACGACCUACGGGUGAAAGCAGGGGAUCUUUGGAGCUUGCGCGAUUGAAUGAGCCGAUGACGGAUUAGCUAGUUGGCGGGGUAAAGGCCCACCAAGGCGACGAUCCGUAGCUGGUCUGAGAGGCUGAUCAGCCACACUGGAGCUGAGCCACGGUCCAGACUCCUACGGGAGGCAGCAGUGGGGAAUAUUGGACAAUGGGCGCAAGCCUGAUACAGCCAUACCGCGUGGGUGAAGACGGCCUUCGGGUUGUGAAGCCCUUUUGUUGGGAAAGAACAGCAGCAGGUUAAUACCCCGCUGUUCUGACGGUACCCAAAGAAUAAGCACCGGCUAACUUCGUG